UAACUUUUUAUACCAGUCUUGCCCAACUAAGUACAAUGCCGUAUCUUUGCCUUCCUAUACUUUGUCACGUUAAUAUUUUUAGUUUGGUUAAAAUAAGAGAAAAGAGUAUGAAAAGUGGCCAUUUUAAGGUCCAUUAAGCUACCAAAAGGAAUUCUGUGCUUUGAAUAUUACCUCUCUCCUGGUUUCAUAUUCUUUGGUUACAAAGGUUGAGAUAAAAGAGUGUUUAUUUUUGAAGCUGUCAGCUUCACUGUCAUAGCAAAACUCUCACUUUUGUCAAUGUUAUCUCUGUGGAACUCAGUGAGGAAGAAAAUAGAAGCCUUAAAAGCAUCUCUGUAGAUUUCGUCUUCCAGAAAGAGAGUUUCUAUGAUUUGGUUCAAUGAGAAAUCCUUUUACCUGCCUAGAAAUGCAGGACCCACUGCUAGCAACUGCUGCUUCUCUUGCCUGGGCAUUUACUGAAAUGUGAUAUGAAAUACACACAUGCAUGCACACACACACACACACACACACUCAUGAUAAAAUGAAUGUAGUACUGUAGCUUUCUGCCCAUUUAGUAAAUUCUGCUGUAUCUGUUUCAAUCCAGUUAGUACACUCUCUUUUGCUUUUGAAAAGUUUUCACAGUUUUAAAGAAUCAUACUUUACAAAGCCUAUUGUGGAAUUUAGAUCUAACAUUUAUUCAGAUCAUAAUCCCUGUGUGUUUCUAUACCUGUGGCAAGCCUAAUACACACAAAUACAUAGAAGUUGUAUUACGGAGCUCAACAACCAUUCACUCAUUGACAUCCAUUCACUCAUUCCACAAACAGCUAUGGAUCACCGACUCUAGAUCAGACUUACCAAUGGGCACUGUGGAUAUGAAAAUGAAUAGAAUACAGUUACUGUCCUCAAAAGAUGUCAGAGUCAAUAUUGAAAACAAUGUAAAAUUUGAGUAACGUUUGUCAUUUAUCUAAUAGUGUUGUACCACUAUCAAUCUUCUGUUUUUGGUAAUUUUGCUAGGAUUCUAUAAGAUGUUUACAUUACAAGAAGCUAUGUAAAGGGCAUCUGGAAACUCUCUGAACUAUUUUUGCAUCUUUUCUGUAAGUUUAAAAUUAUGUUUAAAAAAGUUAAAAUCACAGUCUAAACUUUAUAUUGGUGAAUUACCAAAUUCCCAACAACACAGCUUUACAAGGAUUUUCAACUAAGAAUUCUUAUUUGCCUGGAUAAGUGUUUCCAGAUGUAUUAACAUAAGAAACUGCUCACAGGAAACUGGAGAUGUGGGAAGAAUGGGUUUCUGAGUCAGAUAGGUCUGCAUGAGACUUGGCUUUUCUUGUGACCAUUCAUGUUCACUUUUGAGCAAGGUGAGCAACCUCUCUAAGUCCACUUUCUCACCUUUAUGUGGUGUUAAUAAUAUUUAUAGUAACACCUUCACAAUGUUCAUACGGUGGAGUUGGGCCUGGGUGGGGGAUAAUGUAUUUUAAGAUUAAAUGAUAAAACAUAAAAAAUAAAAUAAAAAAAUGAUACAACAUAUAUAAAACACUGUACAUAGACAAUAAGCCUUGGACUACAAAUGUCCACAUACACCCCCAAUGCUUAGGGAUGUUUAUUCCCCACUCCUCAGGGUUAUUAUUUUUUUUUUUUGGUUUGUUGUUUUUGUUUUUGUUUUGUUUUAUUUUGUUUUUUUAUGUGGAGGAAGCACCACUGUCUCACUCUCUGCCUCUUUCUGCCCCUCACACCUGCCACUCCAGGGAAACUGGGCUGACUUACCAGGUGAAAGAGCUGGGAUGAGAAAUUUGUUGUGGGCCCAUCCCCCUUUCAUGGGGAAGGCUACAUCCAACUCUGCUGGUGUGAGAAACCUGUCCUAGUGAGUGAGUACAACUGGUCAGGAUUGAGUUUCAGGUUUAAAGUUUAUGUGUGUGCAAAUAUUCUUCAAUAAUACAUCAGCAAAUACAGGAGAUAUUAUGAUGCCUUUCUGCCUUAGGCUUUGGUUGUGAUUCUCAACAAGUUCGGAAUUCAGAAAAUGAAGGGAUUUUUUUUUUCUAUUGGCCCUCCAAAGAUCCCACUAAUAGCUAAAUCUUUUCAUGUAAUAAACACAUCUUCUCUAAGUAUAGAAAUAUGAAAAUAGUUAAACUUUUCUGAUGUUGUGUUUUGUUACUGUUUGCCUUUCAUUCAUUCACCUGUCACAGUGUCCAGGAAUGAAGAAAAAGCUGCUUCACCUUGUCAACUGGCAGCUUGUAAAUACUUGGAUUAUGAGUUUAACAGUGUAAACCAAGUCAUAUUAGACAGAGAGGGAAUACUCUCUGACCCCGUUACUAACUGCACACCCCAGGAUGUGGCAACAAUCUCCUCUGGUUGGAACUCAAUUAAGAUCCCAUGAACAAAUCUACUAGCUCUCUCUGCAGAAGCUUGGACUCAAGGUCAACUGAUAGGCUGACAGCCUAUGAACAAGCAAGGCCCUACAUUCCUUAUCUGACAUAAGGAGACCAGGACUCCAUCCAGUUUAUGUGGACUCUCAAAACAUGCCCAUUGUUCCUUCUCCUUGUCCAACAGUCACCUCUGCUUCAUCUUAAUGUUAAAGUCUCUGCCUCAGGGGGGAGCACAAGGUUCAUUAACAUAAUGUUUGAUGUACAUAUGGGCCUCUUUUUUAAUUAUGCCUGCACAACCUUUAUAGGUGAUAACAAAGCUACCCUUUCUGAAUAUUCAUCCUAAAUCCUAAACAAAAAGAACUCCCUUGUCUCUGCUCAGGGAGUCAUGGCUUUGGAAAUUAUUCCCCAUGAUCUCCCCAUUUGCUGCAAAUAAAGAUUACUUUGGGUGUAGUCUUUCCUUGUAACUCACCAAGGAAUGAGCUCAUGUUACUGCGGAUAUACUUUUAUGUCACAGUCUGUAUUAUAUUAUAGUCAUCUCUGUACAUCUCUUAUUUCUUCUGCCCCUUUUUAUUGAGGAUAAAUACUGAUUUAAUUA
Long non-coding RNA from Canis lupus familiaris (dog), 2931 nucleotides. RefSeq lists it as uncharacterized. The transcript has 2 exons. Lineage: Eukaryota; Metazoa; Chordata; Mammalia; Carnivora; Canidae. The record is from RefSeq and is a predicted model, not a curated record.